RNAcentral lists this unclassified non-coding RNA (329 nucleotides) under soil metagenome. Its description in RNAcentral is "partial contains 5.8S ribosomal RNA, internal transcribed spacer 2, and large subunit ribosomal RNA". The stretch from base 1 to 120 matches the Rfam family "5.8S ribosomal RNA", at positions 35 to 154 of the family's 154-position model. The record is from RNAcentral.
GAUGAAGAACGUAGCGAAAUGCGAUAAGUAGUGUGAAUUGCAGAAUUCAGUGAAUCAUCGAAUCUUUGAACGCACAUUGCGCCCCUUGGUAUCCCGAGGGGCAUGCCUGUUCGAGCGUCAUUUCACCACUCAAGCCUGGCUUGGUGUUGGGCGACGUCCUCUUUGGGGACGCGCCUCGAAACGCUCGGCGGCGUGGCACCGGCUUUAAGCGUAGCAGAAUCUUUCGCUUUGGAAGUCGGGGCCCCGUCUGCCGGAAGACCUGCUCGCAAGGUUGAUCUCGGAUCAGGCAGGGAUACCCGCUGAACUUAAGCAUAUCAAUAAGCGGAGGA